RNAcentral lists this ribosomal RNA (572 nucleotides) under uncultured bacterium. RNAcentral's name for it is "partial 16S ribosomal RNA". It matches the Rfam family "Bacterial small subunit ribosomal RNA", at positions 355 to 1375 of the family's 1533-position model. The record is from RNAcentral.
UGGGGAAUAUUGGCACAAUGGGCGCAAGGCCUGAUGCAGCGACGCCGCGUGAGGGAUGACGGCCUUCGGGCUUGUAAAACCUCUUUUCACCAGGGACGAAGCGCAAGUGACGGUACCUGGAGAAGAAGCACCGGCCAACUACGUGCCAGCAGCCGCGGUAAUACGUAGGGUGCGAGCGUUGUCCGGAAUUACUGGGCGUAAAGAGCUCGUAGGUGGUUUGUCGCGUUGUUCGUGAAAACUCACAACUCAAUUGUGGGCGUGCGGGCGAUACGGGCAGACUAGAGUACUGCAGGGGAGACUGGAAUUCCUGGUGUAGCGGUGGAAUGCGCAGAUAUCAGGAGGAACACCGGUGGCGAAGGCGGGUCUCUGGGCAGUAACUGACGCUGAGGAGCGAAAGCGUGGGGAGCGAACAGGAUUAGAUACCCUGGUAGUCCACGCCGUAAACGGUGGGUACUAGGUGUGGGUUCCUUCCUUGGGAUCCGUGCCGUAGCUAACGCAUUAAGUACCCCGCCUGGGGAGUACGGCCGCAAGGCUAAAACUUAAAUGAAUUGACGGGGUCAUAGCUGUUUCCU